CUGGUCAUAUAAAAAAUAAGUAAAUAAAAUAAAAUAAUACCUCACUGACCUAAAGUAAAUCCCAGGAGGAGUUCUUCCUGGGCUUUGAAUUUGCAGUAACAGGUUUGAACAUUCUAGAGGCAGUUGGAUGAUCAUGUAUGAUACUGCAGACAAGA
Molecule: small nucleolar RNA, 155 nt
Filed under: Myotis brandtii (Brandt's bat)
Lineage: Eukaryota; Metazoa; Chordata; Mammalia; Chiroptera; Vespertilionidae
Description: Small Cajal body specific RNA 16
Rfam family: Small Cajal body specific RNA 16
About the family: scaRNAs are a specific class of small nuclear RNAs which localise to the Cajal bodies and guide the modification of RNA polymerase II transcribed spliceosomal RNAs U1, U2, U4, U5 and U12.
Source: Rfam by way of RNAcentral